UGGGGAAUAUUGCACAAUGGGCGCAAGCCUGAUGCAGCCAUGCCGCGUGUGUGAAGAAGGCCUUCGGGUUGUAAAGCACUUUCAGCGAGGAGGAAGGUGGUGAGCUUAAUACGCUCAUCAAUUGACGUUACUCGCAGAAGAAGCACCGGCUAACUCCGUGCCAGCAGCCGCGGUAAUACGGAGGGUGCAAGCGUUAAUCGGAAUUACUGGGCGUAAAGCGCACGCAGGCGGUUUGUUAAGUCAGAUGUGAAAUCCCCGGGCUCAACCUGGGAACUGCAUUUGAAACUGGCAAGCUAGAGUCUCGUAGAGGGGGGUAGAAUUCCAGGUGUAGCGGUGAAAUGCGUAGAGAUCUGGAGGAAUACCGGUGGCGAAGGCGGCCCCCUGGACGAAGACUGACGCUCAGGUGCGAAAGCGUGGGGCAGCAAACAGGAUUAGAUACCCUGGUAGUCCACGCUGUAAACGAUGUCGAUUUUGGAGGUUGUGCCCUUGAGGCGUGGCUUCCGGAGCUAACGCGUUAAAUCGACCGCCUGGGGAGUACGGUCGCAAGGUUAAAACUCAAAUGAAUUGACGGGGUCAUAGCUGUUUCCU
Molecule: ribosomal RNA, 588 nt
Filed under: uncultured bacterium
Lineage: Bacteria
Description: partial 16S ribosomal RNA
Rfam family: Bacterial small subunit ribosomal RNA
Source: RNAcentral